This is a long non-coding RNA of Oenanthe melanoleuca, 1455 nucleotides long. RefSeq lists it as uncharacterized. The transcript has 4 exons. NCBI's taxonomy places the organism in Eukaryota, Metazoa, Chordata, Aves, Passeriformes, Muscicapidae. The record is from RefSeq and is a predicted model, not a curated record.
CACAAGGCGGCAGCACUGCCGCCCUUCCCACGCUCGCAGCCGCGGCCGCUCUCGCAGCCCGAACUCGGCGUCACCCUCCCCUCUAUUCACACACACCCCCCGCUCCCCGCUCCAUCCGGGCAGCGCCGGCGGGGACGCCGCUGCAAUCCGGAUCUCCGGCGAGGAGAACAGCAUUGCUGCCCUGCCGGAUUGAGAAAUCCGAUUCCUUGCAGAGAUUGAGGGGAUAGGGAGCUGAUCCUCAGGCUGGCUUUUGGCAGCGGCAAUUGGGUGAGAUGGGGAGAGGGGAUAUUCCCCCGGAUCCGUUAAAGCCAGCUCUGCUGGGUUUGGGUAUCUCUCUCCAAAAACUGAUCCCGCUGAAGGGGGCUUGAGGAAGCAGCGGGAUGCCCUGGGGGCUGUGCUGGAAGCCCCAGCCCCGGUGAGGAAUGCUGGGCAGUGCCGGCUCCGAGGGGACCCGGAACAGGGAACAGCCCCGCUUCGGCCCCGGGAGAGGGGGCGGGCCGCGAGCGAUGGCCCCGCCCCAGCCCGGGCAGGACGGGGCGCCGGGGAGGGAGCGGGCGGGGCCGGGCGGGGAUUGAGGGGCGGGGCCGGGCCCGACUCAGGUGCGCGGGGCCCCAGUGCGGCUGCGCGGGCCGGGGCCUAUUUCUAUGCGGCCGAUCCGCUCCCGGCCCGUUCCAUUCGGGACCACUCGUGCUGGGAUGCGGCGGGAUCCUCGUCGGAGCGCUGUGCCAGGGACAGCUCCCGGUUCUGCGCGAAUCCUGGGGCGCUCAGGUCACAGGAUAUACUGGGAUUGAGAGGGUUCCUAAAAUCCGACUCUCGAGGACACGGCCCGUGGGAGAAUUGAACUCACAACCUUGGCACUACCUGGACUGUGCUCCGACUGACUGAGCCCUCUGCAUCACAGCUGCGGGGAACAGGGGGCAGGAGGAGGCCAGGAGUCCCCGAAAGGCAUCCAGCACCUCUUGUCCAUGGGCCCUCGGGGCAGGGGCUGUGCCUGCAGCGUCCUGCCCGUGCCGAGCACACGGCCCGGGAUGGGCGCUGGGUGCCCGGCCGGCGCUGGCACGGACACGGCUCAAGGGCUGCCCAUGGCUCCCGGGCCAGGGGCUGCUCUGAGCAGGCUCCUGGAGAUGCUUCAGCCUGGAUACAGGCCACUGACAGCCCAAAAGCAGCCCAAGGAGCAGCUGGCGUGUCCUGGUGAUGGUGGCACGGGCUGCGUGCAGAGGGGCUCAGACAGCAAUUCCUGGUUCCAGCCUCCCAGAGCUCCCAGGCAGCUGCCAGCUAUUAAAUGCCAACCGACAGCCUGCAGAGAUGCCUUCAAAUCAAAGGUUCAGGUGGGAUGAAGUUUUGUUUGGACGAAGGUGGGAGUUUCCAGGGAGCCAGCUGGAAGUGCAGAAGGGAUGGAAAGCUUUCCCAGGUGGGUCCCACUGGAGGUGUGCUGAAGGCAGGGAUGUGCACCCU